CCCCGCCCUUCGGCCACCGCAGCAGAGGCCACGCGUGACAUUUAGGACCACGCGUGACCACCGCGAUCAAACGACGGCUACGGUCUGUGUUCGUAGGGAAGUGAAGUCAGACCUCUGCUGGAUGUCGUGUGUCCCCUAGGACUGCGUCCUCCCGCGCAGACAGAGCUCCAGAGCACCACCCCACUGUGCCUCAUUCAGGAAGUGCUGUGAUCAAGAAACCACUACUGCUGCUGGUGCCAGGACUGUGAUUCCCAUCAACAGCACUGAUGGCCUGCACCUCACCUCUGACACCCAUGGGACUCUUGUAUGUGGACACCAGAAAGUCUGCUAAUUCUGGAACAAAAACCUGAAAUGUCUCCAUGAGAUGGACUGCUGAAAGAAAUAGAAAACCACAGAGGUGAGGCCUCCACCGUACUUCCAAAUGCUGUAUUGCACAUGGAAUGCAUUUGAUUUGUCAGAUCAAUCACUUUCAGAAUCCAAGCUGCAAAGGAGUUUUGGAAACACAGACCAGAGUUUUCCAGCCUCUGUCAGACGAGAAGGCUAAAAAAGAUUGGAAUGGAUGAUGGGCAUUCAUAUUCACAUAAAUUCGACUUCUAUAUA
Molecule: long non-coding RNA, 600 nt
Filed under: Homo sapiens (human)
Lineage: Eukaryota; Metazoa; Chordata; Mammalia; Primates; Hominidae
Description: MKX antisense RNA 1
Source: RNAcentral